GGGUAAGGGUGAGACUGUGAGGGGGUAAGGGUGAGACUGUGAGGGGGUAAGGGGUGAGACUGCAGGGGUAAGGGUCAGACUGAGGGGGUAAGGGUCAGACUGUGCAGGGAUUGAUGGGGUAAGGGUCAGACUGUGUAGGGGUAAGGGUCAGACUGUGAGGGGGCAAGGGUCAGACUGUGAGGGGGCAAGGGACAGACUG
Molecule: long non-coding RNA, 199 nt
Organism: Haliotis rubra (blacklip abalone)
Lineage: Eukaryota; Metazoa; Mollusca; Gastropoda; Lepetellida; Haliotidae
Exons: 3
Source: RefSeq, a predicted model, not a curated record